RNAcentral lists this long non-coding RNA (325 nucleotides) under Pelobates cultripes (western spadefoot toad). Lineage: Eukaryota; Metazoa; Chordata; Amphibia; Anura; Pelobatidae. The record is from RNAcentral.
GGUUAAUGGAGUUUCUGCCUCUGUCCUUGGAGAUAAUUGGAUUACUUCCCAAUUAUCUCCAGGACAGAGAGGAAGGAUUGUGAUGCAUUGUGGGAUUGUUGAAAUGUGUAAGUCUGUGAUUGGUUCUUGUACCCUUUGUGUCCCAGACUCCCAUCUGGUCCCCUAGGGAAGUGUCCACCAGGUGGGAGACCUGCAUAAAAGCCGGGCAGUUAGUCCCAGUAAACCAGAUUCUGCUUAACCCUCAAACAAAGUGUCGUCUCGUUAUUGGGGGAAUUGGAUUGUAUGCUGACUGCCAGGAGUGUAAACCUUUCAUAUGGUUUUUCCU